RNAcentral lists this long non-coding RNA (328 nucleotides) under Selaginella moellendorffii. RNAcentral describes it as "long non-coding RNA (SMOE_LNC002237)". Lineage: Eukaryota; Viridiplantae; Streptophyta; Lycopodiopsida; Selaginellales; Selaginellaceae. The record is from RNAcentral.
UUCUUUUUCGACCAGGCGCUCCAGAAUUGCUUUUUCAUAGAAGACGUCCUGGGAAGCUUGACGGUAGACUCGAACAAGACUCAGCAACUGUUCGGCUUUCUGAAGUACCAGAAUUACUCCAGGUUAGUGCCUGUUGACAACUCAUCGUCAGACACUCCAAAGCUCCUAGUGAUCGGAAUUACCUCUGCAGGAGCUGCUGUAGCCAUUGUAACUUUUGCGUUGCUUUUCACGAUCCUGCAUCGAAGGAGGGUCAUGCUCGACGAACUAAACAGUUUCCUUACCGGUGUACAAGCUUCGCCUUACAGGUUCUCGUUCAGCAGCCUAUACU